Molecule: long non-coding RNA, 430 nt
Filed under: Pan troglodytes (chimpanzee)
Lineage: Eukaryota; Metazoa; Chordata; Mammalia; Primates; Hominidae
Description: long non-coding RNA NONPTRT015254
Source: RNAcentral
AGGAUGGCCAGGCACAGUGGCUAACGCCUAUAAUCCCGGCACUUUGGGAGACUGAGGCUGGUGGAUCAGGAGUUCGAGACCAUCCUGGGAAACAUGGUGAAACCCCAUCUCUACAAAAUAUACAAAAAUUAACCAGGUACGGUGGUAGGCACCUGUAAUCCCAGCAACUCAGGAGGCUGAGGCACAAGAAUCGCUUGAACCCAGAAGGUGAAGGUUGCAGUGAGCCGAGCUCAUGCCACUGCACUCUAGUCCGGACGACAGAGCAAGACUCUGUCUCAAAACGAACAAACAAACAAAAGAAUAGGGAACAUAAUUUUAAAUUUAAAUAACUUAGAAUAUUUUAAUAAUAUAUCAUAAUCAAAGGAAAUAAGAGAGGAAGAAAAUAAGAAAAUGGUAGAGGAACAAGUAACAGAGACAGAAAGUAAAAAUU